UGUAAGCAUUUCGUCAUUUUGAAACUUCUUCAAAAUGUACAUUUUCCAAACUACUCAGGAAACCAAGUGAAAAGUGUGGUUUCCAGCUAUUCCGAUAGGAACACUUUAGUGUUCCGACAGCACUUGCGUUGUGAAUCUUCUCACUUUCUGUCUUGGGAGCCAUAAGGGAUAAAUAAGGAUAAAUGUGAGAAAACCAAACUAAAGGGAGCAACAACAUUAGAGGAAAAUGUUAAGCACGGAUAGCAAGCAAAGGAGAAUCGACACAUACUCAGUCGGAGAACCUGAAGAAGGAACACAACACAAAGCAAAAUAGCUAUUUUGAAAUGCAUAUCAAGCAAGUAUUACAGAAGCGCCCCAAUAAUCUACAUUUUAAAAUAGCAGCUCGCGGCACAAAACGUUGCACUAAGUGACCUGUUGCAAGACAACAAAGAGUAAAAUUACUAAAGAUUAUUUUGAGCUAAAAGCACUUGAAACGGCAGACAUAGGAAGGGCACUUGGACUUCUUUUCUUUCUGAAAGCAGGAGAUAAAACUCUUCAUGUAGAAGAUGCUCUCCCUCUACCGCGAGGAAAAAAACAA
Molecule: long non-coding RNA, 577 nt
Organism: Neofelis nebulosa (Clouded leopard)
Lineage: Eukaryota; Metazoa; Chordata; Mammalia; Carnivora; Felidae
Exons: 2
Source: RefSeq, a predicted model, not a curated record